UCUUCCAAAAUAUCUCAUAAUAUGCACUGCUAUGUUAAGUCCUGCUAGCUCCUCCUCAAAAUUUCUUUCUGUCCAAGCCAAUAAGGACAGCCAGAUCUUUCACUUAUUUCUAGUGGCUUCCUGACGUAUUAGUUAAUAAAUGAAGUGCCGUGUUUUAUUCUCAUUAUAGGUUCGUAUUUCUAUUUCCAUCCUGUCAGUUCUUUUUUUUAUUUUUCAGAAGUCAUUCUUUUACUCUUUCAUUCACUGACUAAUUUCUAAUAACUCUGGUAGCUGUUGAAUUUUUUCAUAAACACCUAUGAGAUAGUGAGGCCAAGCUUACAUGAGAGUUGGACCUUUUUGUGAGGCCAUUAUUAGUUCAGUAGAAUGCCCUAGAGGGGACAUGGGGUACAACCUGGAGGUGAUCUGUACACAUCCUUUUUUUCCUGUUAUGCUUUUUGCAAUUGAUUUAAAAUAUUUAUAAGAUAAUUAAAAGGAAAUGCAUUCUCUCUGACUGGUUCCUCAUCACUCAUAGCACUAAGUCACAGAACAUUUCCCUACCCCCAUUAUUUGCCAUACAAAAUGAUUGUUUUAUUUGUAAUGAGUAAGAGUGGGGCAAAGGGUAAAACUCUCACAGUCAUUAGCCGAUUUGCAUAAAG
Chiroxiphia lanceolata (lance-tailed manakin) is the source of this 635-nucleotide long non-coding RNA. RefSeq lists it as uncharacterized. The transcript has 4 exons. The record is from RefSeq and is a predicted model, not a curated record. NCBI's taxonomy places the organism in Eukaryota, Metazoa, Chordata, Aves, Passeriformes, Pipridae.